UACGGAGGGUGCAAGCGUUGCUCGGAAUUAUUGGGCGUAAAGGGUAGGUAGGCGGUCUCAUUUGUCUGGGGUGAAAUCCUUGAGCUUAACUCAAGAAGUGCCCCAGAAACGGUGAGACUAGAGUCCUGGAGAGGGUCGUGGAAUUCCCGGUGUAGCGGUGAAAUGCGUAGAGAUCGGGAGGAACACCAGAGGCGAAAGCGGCGACCUGGACAGGCACUGACACUCAACUACGAAAGCGUGGGGAGCAAACAGG
RNAcentral lists this ribosomal RNA (253 nucleotides) under uncultured bacterium. RNAcentral's name for it is "partial 16S ribosomal RNA". It matches the Rfam family "Bacterial small subunit ribosomal RNA", at positions 524 to 776 of the family's 1533-position model. The record is from RNAcentral.